UUUCUACUGCCUCCCGUCUGAAAAUACUUGUCAUCAAAAUGGAUAAAAAGAGAUGUAUCUAAAACUAAAAUACGUCUAGAUACAUUUCCUUUUAUCCAUUUUGAUGACAAGUAUUUCCGGACGGAGGGAGUAUUUU
Molecule: non-coding RNA, 136 nt
Organism: Triticum aestivum (bread wheat)
Lineage: Eukaryota; Viridiplantae; Streptophyta; Magnoliopsida; Poales; Poaceae
Source: Rfam